Molecule: long non-coding RNA, 417 nt
Filed under: Olea europaea subsp. europaea
Lineage: Eukaryota; Viridiplantae; Streptophyta; Magnoliopsida; Lamiales; Oleaceae
Source: RNAcentral
AUACACACACACAUAUACAUAAAUCUAGACGUGGGUUUUCAAGAAUUUGAAUUCCUGAGGAAUAUAUCUUGAUCUGCUUUUCUGAUCCUUCAGAUUUUUGGUUAUAUAGAUACUUAAAUGUUUCAUAUUUCUGUUCACAUUUGAUUAUCUUUUUUAAUUUUAAUAACAUUGCUGGUUUUCAAAGAGUUGAACAUUGUGCGGAUUCAUUUGAAUUUGGGUUUUCUGGGUCUUCGUCAUUUAUCUAUAUAUUUAUUUUUCUAUCUCUAUGAUAGUUUAGUUUUAUUUUGAGAGUGCUAAAGAGUGGUCUUUUGUUAAUUUUGAUGAUUUGUCGAAAGGGUAAUGUUUGGUGAAAUUUGUGCCUUUUGGAUGUCGAGGCUUUUUAUUCAGAAAAAAAUUAUAUAAUUUAUAUGGUUCUUG